UACGUAGGGACCGAGCGUUGUCCGGAAUCAUUGGGCGUAAAGAGCGUGUAGGCGGCCACUUAAGUCCUGCGUGAAAUCUUGCGGCUCAACCGCAAGCGGUCGUGGGAAACUGGGUGGCUAGAGUGCGGGAGAGGAGAGUGGAAUUCCUGGUGUAGCGGUGGAAUGCGCAGAUAUCAAGAAGAACACCCGUGGCGAAGGCGGCUCUCUGGAACGCAACUGACGCUGAGACGCGAAAGCGUGGGGAGCAAACAGG
RNAcentral lists this ribosomal RNA (253 nucleotides) under uncultured bacterium. Its description in RNAcentral is "partial 16S ribosomal RNA". It matches the Rfam family "Bacterial small subunit ribosomal RNA", at positions 524 to 776 of the family's 1533-position model. The record is from RNAcentral.